Molecule: ribosomal RNA, 700 nt
Filed under: uncultured bacterium
Lineage: Bacteria
Description: bacterial SSU rRNA
Rfam family: Bacterial small subunit ribosomal RNA
Source: RNAcentral
AGAGUUUGAUCAUGGCUCAGAUUGAACGCUGGCGGCAUGCCUUACACAUGCAAGUCGAACGGCAGCACGGGUGCUUGCACCUGGUGGCGAGUGGCGAACGGGUGAGUAAUACAUCGGAACAUGUCCUGUAGUGGGGGAUAGCCCGGCGAAAGCCGGAUUAAUACCGCAUACGAUCUGAGGAUGAAAGCGGGGGACCUUCGGGCCUCGCGCUAUAGGGUUGGCCGAUGGCUGAUUAGCUAGUUGGUGGGGUAAAGGCCUACCAAGGCGACGAUCAGUAGCUGGUCUGAGAGGACGACCAGCCACACUGGGACUGAGACACGGCCCAGACUCCUACGGGAGGCAGCAGUGGGGAAUUUUGGACAAUGGGCGAAAGCCUGAUCCAGCAAUGCCGCGUGUGUGAAGAAGGCCUUCGGGUUGUAAAGCACUUUUGUCCGGAAAGAAAUCCCUGGCUCUAAUACAGUCGGGGGAUGACGGUACCGGAAGAAUAAGCACCGGCUAACUACGUGCCAGCAGCCGCGGUAAUACGUAGGGUGCGAGCGUUAAUCGGAAUUACUGGGCGUAAAGCGUGCGCAGGCGGUCUGUUAAGACAGAUGUGAAAUCCCCGGGCUCAACCUGGGAACUGCAUUUGUGACUGGCAGGCUAGAGUAUGGCAGAGGGGGGUAGAAUUCCACGUGUAGCAGUGAAAUGCGUAGAGAUGUGG